GCGUCUGUAGCCUACACCACGGUCAUUUGGGUGUCGCCCCGGAUGUAACCGUCGUGAGUUCGAAUCUCACCAGACACA
RNAcentral lists this transfer RNA (78 nucleotides) under Puccinia graminis f. sp. tritici CRL 75-36-700-3. Its description in RNAcentral is "tRNA-Pro (CGG) (tRNA-Pro-CGG-2-1)". The record is from RNAcentral. Lineage: Eukaryota; Fungi; Basidiomycota; Pucciniomycetes; Pucciniales; Pucciniaceae.